Molecule: ribosomal RNA, 1400 nt
Filed under: Verrucomicrobiaceae bacterium
Lineage: Bacteria; Pseudomonadati; Verrucomicrobiota; Verrucomicrobiia; Verrucomicrobiales; Verrucomicrobiaceae
Description: partial 23S ribosomal RNA
Rfam family: Bacterial large subunit ribosomal RNA
Source: RNAcentral
GAACAAACGAAGGGCAACAGGAGGAUGCCUUGGCGACACAUGGCGAAGAAGGACGUGACAAGCUGCGAUAAGCUUCGGGGAGCCGCAAGUAGGCUUUAAUCCGGAGAUUUCCGAAUGGGAAAACCCGUUUAAAUGAAAGUUUAAACACUCCUAACUGAAUCUAUAGGUUAGGUAGAGCAAUACCUGCUGAAGUGAAACAUCUCAGUAAGCAGAGGAAAAGAAAGCGAAUGCGAUUCCCUCAGUAGUGGCGAGCGAAAGGGGAACAGCCUAAACCGAGUUGAUUUAUCGGCUCGGGGUUCGGACUUCGAAGUGAGACGAUGAAGGAUAGAUGAAUUACCUGGAAAGGUAAGCGAUACAGGGUGAUAGUCCCGUAGUCGAAAUCCGUAAUUGCUCUAGGAGUAUCCAGAGUAGCACCGGACACGUGAAACCUGGUGUGAAAGAGUGCAGACCACUGCAUAAGGCUAAAUACAAGGUGUCGACCGAUAGUGAACAAGUACCGUGAGGGAAAGGUGAAAAGCACCCCUGUUAGGGGAGUUAAAAGUACCUGAAACCUGUUGCCUACAAGCGGUCAGAGCUUUUUUAUAAAGUGAUGGCGUACCUUUUGCAUAAUGGGCCUAGGAGUCUAUAUCAGUUGCGAGCUUAAGUGUUUACGACAUGGAGGCGAAGCGAAAGCGAGUUUGAAUAGGGCGAUAGUAUCUGGUAUAGCACCCGAAGCGGAGGCGAUCUAGCCAUGGCCAGGUUGAAGCAUCGGUAACACGAUGUGGAGGACCGAACCCAUUAACCUUGAGAAGUUAAGGGAUGAGCUGUGGUUAGGAGUGAAAGGCUAAUCAAGCCCCGUAAUAGCUGGUUCUCUCCGAAAUAUAUUUAGGUAUAGCGUUGUAUGUUUAUAGUUGGGGGUAAAGCACUGAAAAGGCUAGGGCUCACACCCGGGUACCGAACCUUAUCAAACUCUGAAUACCAGCUAAUAUAAUACAGCAGUCAGUCAGUGGGGGAUAAGCUUCAUUGGCGAGAGGGAAACACCCCAGACCAUCAAAUAAGGUCCCUAAGUUAAUGCUAAGUGGUACGAAGGAGGUAAAUUUUCUUAGACAAUGGGGAUGUUGGCUUAGAGGCAGCCAUCAUUUAAAAAGUGCGUAAUAGCUUACCCAUCGAGAGAGUUUGCGCCGAAAAUGAUCGGGACUAAAGUAUUACACCGAAUUUGUGGAUUGUUUUAACAAUGGUAGGAGAGCGUUCCAACGACGUUGAAGGUUGAGGGGAACCGAGGCUGGAGUUUUUGGAAGUGAGAAUCUAGGCAUGAGUAACGAAAAGUAUGGUUAAAAUCCAUACCGCCGUAAGGAUAAGGUUUCCUGGGGAAGGUUCGUCCGCCCAGGGUUAGUCGGGAGCUAAGGCGAGGCCGUAAGGAG